UACGAAGGGGGCUAGCGUUGCUCGGAAUCACUGGGCAUAAAGGGCGCGUAGGCGGCUCCAAAAGUCAGGGGUGAAAUCCGGCAGCUUAACUGUCGCAGUGCCUUUGAUACUGUGGAGCUAGAGGGAGGUAGGGGUCUGUGGAACUUCCGGUGGAGCGGUGAAAUGCGUUGAUAUCAGGAGGAACACCGGUGGCGAAGGCGGGUCUCUGGGCCGAUACUGACGCUGAGGAGCGAAAGCGUGGGGAGCGAACAGG
This 253-nucleotide ribosomal RNA is filed under the name uncultured bacterium. Its description in RNAcentral is "partial 16S ribosomal RNA". It matches the Rfam family "Bacterial small subunit ribosomal RNA", at positions 524 to 776 of the family's 1533-position model. The record is from RNAcentral.